GACGAACGCUGGCGGCGUGCCUAAUACAUGCAAGUAGAACGCUGAAGGAGGAGCUUGCUUCUCUGGAUGAGUUGCGAACGGGUGAGUAACGCGUAGGUAACCUGCCUGGUAGCGGGGGAUAACUAUUGGAAACGAUAGCUAAUACCGCAUAAUAGUAGAUGUUGCAUGACAUUUGCUUAAAAUGUGCAAUUGCAUCACUACCAGAUGGACCUGCCUUGUAUUAGCUAGUUGGUGGGGUAACGGCUCACCAAGGCGACGGUACAUAGCCGGCCUGAGAGGGUGGACGAGCACACUGGGACUGAGGCACGGCCCAGACUCCUACGGGAAGCAGCAGUAGGGAAUCAUCGGCAAUGGACGGAAGUCUGACCGAGCAACGCCGCGGGAGUGAAGAAGGUUUUCGGAUCGUAAAGCUCUGUUGUAAGAGAAGAACGAGUGUGAGAGUGGAAAGUUCACACUGUGACGGUAUCUUAACAGAAAGGGACGGCUAACUACGUG
RNAcentral lists this ribosomal RNA (495 nucleotides) under uncultured bacterium. RNAcentral describes it as "partial 16S ribosomal RNA". It matches the Rfam family "Bacterial small subunit ribosomal RNA", at positions 28 to 507 of the family's 1533-position model. The record is from RNAcentral.